Molecule: ribosomal RNA, 1200 nt
Filed under: metagenome
Description: bacterial LSU rRNA
Rfam family: Bacterial large subunit ribosomal RNA
Source: RNAcentral
GGGUUGUCCAAGUUUAAGGUGGUAGGCUGAGAUCUUAGGUAAAUCCGGGAUCUUAAGGCCGAGAGCUGAUGACGAGUUAACUUUUAGUUAACGAAGUGGUUGAUGCCAUGCUUCCAAGAAAAGCUUCUAAGCUUCAGGUAACCAGGAACCGUACCCCAAACCGACACAGGUGGUUGGGUAGAGAAUACCAAGGCGCUUGAGAGAACUCGGGUGAAGGAACUAGGCAAAAUGGCACCGUAACUUCGGGAGAAGGUGCGCCGGUGAGGGUGAAGGACUUGCUCCGUAAGCUCAUGCCGGUCGAAGAUACCAGGCCGCUGCGACUGUUUAUUAAAAACACAGCACUCUGCAAACACGAAAGUGGACAUAUAGGGUGUGACGCCUGCCCGGUGCCGGAAGGUUAAUUGAUGGGGUUAGCUAACGCGAAGCUCUUGAUCGAAGCCCCGGUAAACGGCGGCCGUAACAAUAACGGUCCUAAGGUAGCGAAAUUCCUUGUCGGGUAAGUUCCGACCUGCACGAAUGGCGUAACGAUGGCGGCGCUGUCUCCACCCGAGACUCAGUGAAAUUGAAAUCGCUGUGAAGAUGCAGUGUAUCCGCGGCUAGACGGAAAGACCCCGUGAACCUUUACUAUAGCUUUGCACUGGACUUUGAAUUUGCUUGUGUAGGAUAGGUGGGAGGCUUUGAAGUGUGGACGCCAGUCUGCAUGGAGCCAACCUUGAAAUACCACCCUGGCAACUUUGAGGUUCUAACUCAGGUCCGUUAUCCGGAUCGAGGACAGUGAAUGGUGGGUAGUUUGACUGGGGCGGUCUCCUCCUAAAGAGUAACGGAGGAGUACGAAGGUGCGCUCAGACCGGUCGGAAAUCGGUCGUAGAGUAUAAAGGCAAAAGCGCGCUUGACUGCGAGACAGACACGUCGAGCAGGUACGAAAGUAGGUCUUAGUGAUCCGGUGGUUCUGUAUGGAAGGGCCAUCGCUCAACGGAUAAAAGGUACUCCGGGGAUAACAGGCUGAUACCGCCCAAGAGUUCAUAUCGACGGCGGUGUUUGGCACCUCGAUGUCGGCUCAUCACAUCCUGGGGCUGAAGCCGGUCCCAAGGGUAUGGCUGUUCGCCAUUUAAAGUGGUACGCGAGCUGGGUUUAGAACGUCGUGAGACAGUUCGGUCCCUAUCUGCCGUGGACGUUUGAGAUUUGAGAGGGGCUGCUCCC